Molecule: long non-coding RNA, 630 nt
Filed under: Dasypus novemcinctus (nine-banded armadillo)
Lineage: Eukaryota; Metazoa; Chordata; Mammalia; Cingulata; Dasypodidae
Description: lncRNA (ENSDNOG00000051263.1)
Source: RNAcentral
GGAGCGGUGGGGGAUGGGGCGGGGGGGAGGGGUGUGGGGGGGCGGGGCUCUCUGGGAAACUCCGGGACACUCAGGCAAGGGGGAGCGUGUGCACCUGCUCGAGCCCUGCGGUUUUCUGUGGUCUUUCUGACACCCGGAAGGCGCUCUGCGCAGAUCGUGCUCUGGCUCCGGCCUGUUCUGCUGGGACUGCGACUGGUCGGUCCGCUCCGUCUCCCCGAGAGUUCCACCCGGCGUGGAAGCCCCGCGGGGCGCCCGCCGAUGCCCUCGCUGUGCGCUGACGACCAGGACCUAACCCCGCAGGGCAGAGGAACGGGCGCAACGCGGUUGAGGAAUGAAAAUCGCAAGAACGCGAGUCGCUUUGCACACAGAAACUGGCUCUAAAGCUACCCUUUUUAAAAAAUGUUUAGUUUUUAAAAUGAUGUAUCAACUUUACUGUGCACAUAAAUUCUUCAAUAAAAUUUUUUUAAAAAUUCCAAGUCAAUAACAUUACUUUAAGGGUCAUAACAUAAGGAUCUAGUAUCAAGAACAUGUAAGGAAAUCAUAGUGUAAAGAACUCAACAGUAAAAGAACAACCCAAUUUAAAAAUGUGCAGACUUGAAUAGAUAUUUCUCCAAAAAGGAUGUAAAAUGG